CCGGAAUACCGGGUUAAAGGGGGUAGGUAUACGCUGGGGUUAAUAGCUCCGGAGUGCCGAGCCCGACAGUACCGCAAGCCCUCGGGCGCGCGGAUAGUGGCCCUAAGCAGACUUCCAAGAAAAUCUUCUACGCACCAGGCAUGCGGCGCUCGUACCGUAAACCGACACAGGUGGUCAAGGAGAGAAUCCUGAGGCGCUCGAGUGGAUCACGGCCAAGGAACUCGGCAAACUAGUCCUGUAACUUCGGGAAAAAGGACCCCCCCGGCAACGGGGGGCGCAGAGAAAUGGCCCAGGCGACUGUUUAUCAAAAACACAGGGCUAUGCGAAAUCGAAAGAUGAUGUAUAUGGCCUGACACCUGCCCGGUGCCGGAAGGUUAAGAGGAGACGUCAUCUUCGGAGAAGCGUUGAAUUGAAGCCCCGGUAAACGGCGGCCGUAACAAUAACGGUCCUAAGGUAGCGAAAUUCCUUGUCGGGUAAGUUCCGACCUGCACGAAUGAUGUAACGAUCUGGGCGCUGUCUCAGCCGUGAGCUCGGUGAAAUUGUAGUAGCGGUGAAGAUGCCGCUUACCCGCAACGGGACGGAAAGACCCCGUGCACCUUCACUGCAACUUAACGUUGGUUCUGGGCAAGAGAUGUGUAGGAUAGGCCGGAGGCGCUGAAGCGGGUACGCCAGUAUUCGUGGAGCCGACGUUGAAAUACGGCCCUUCUCUUGUUUGGAGUCUAACCCCUUAACAGGGAGACAGCGUUUGGUGGGUAGUUUGACUGGGGUGGUCGCCUCCAAAAGAGUAACGGAGGCUUCCCAAGGUACCCUCAGCGCGGAUGGUAACCGCGCGCAGCGUGCAAUGGCAUAAGGGUGCUUGACUGUGAGGCCGACAAGCCGAGCAGGGACGAAAGUCGGGCAUAGUGAUCCGGUGGUUCCGCGUGGAAGGGCCAUCGCUCAAAGGAUAAAAGGUACGCCGGAUAACAGGCUGAUCGCUCCCAAGAGCUCAUAUCGACGGAGCGGUUUGGCACCUCGAUGUCGGCUCGUCACAUCCUGGGGCUGGAGAAGGUCCCAAGGGUUCGGCUGUUCGCCGAUUAAAGUGGCACGCGAGCUGGGUUCAGAACUUCGUGAGACAGUUCGGUCCCUAUCUGUUGCGGGCGUAGGAGGCUUGAAGGGAGCUGACUCUAGUACGAGAGGACCGAGUUGGACGAACCGCUAGUGUGCCAGUUGUACCGCCAGGUGCACCGCUGGGUAGCUACGUUCGGCCGGGAUAGCGCUGAAAGCAUCUAAGCGCGAAGCCCCCCCUAAGAUGAGGCCUCCCUUGAGGGGCGUUGGAGACUAC
This 1321-nucleotide ribosomal RNA is filed under the name metagenome. RNAcentral's name for it is "bacterial LSU rRNA". It matches the Rfam family "Bacterial large subunit ribosomal RNA", at positions 1498 to 2848 of the family's 2925-position model. The record is from RNAcentral.